Molecule: ribosomal RNA, 253 nt
Filed under: uncultured bacterium
Lineage: Bacteria
Description: partial 16S ribosomal RNA
Rfam family: Bacterial small subunit ribosomal RNA
Source: RNAcentral
UACAGAGGUCCCAAGCGUUGUUCGGAUUCACUGGGCGUAAAGGGUGCGUAGGUGGUUGGGUAAGUCUGAUGUGAAAUCUCCGGGCUCAACCCGGAAAUGGCAUUGGAUACUAUUCGGCUAGAGGUUUGGAGGGGGGACUGGAAUUCUCGGUGUAGCAGUGAAAUGCGUAGAUAUCGAGAGGAACACCUGCGGCGAAGGCGGGUUGCUGGGCUGACACUGACGCUGAGGCGCGAAAGCUAGGGGAGCGAACGGG